This is a non-coding RNA of Myodes glareolus (Bank vole), 520 nucleotides long. NCBI's taxonomy places the organism in Eukaryota, Metazoa, Chordata, Mammalia, Rodentia, Cricetidae. The record is from RefSeq and is a predicted model, not a curated record.
ACCAGUACAACUGCAGUGUAGAGCCUGGACGCUUGAGCUGGAGAGGGGCAAAGAAGUCUGACAGAAACUGCCGCUGUAUUCCUAAAAUUCUGAAAAUGAGAGAACACUAUCCAAAAGGGACCUGCAGCUUAGAGGAAGUUUGGCCCAUGGUGGGAAUUAAUUCACAAAUAAAGCUCCAAUCCAUAAAAGCUGAACACCUACUCCCUGAAGAGGACAAUUUGGAAGACAAGAUUCUGGUGCAGUUGUUGUGACACCCACAUCUGUGUUUGAAAGGCCUUCAAUGACAAUAGGAGAAGCUAGAGAAGAUUGAUAAACACUCUGCUCUCACCACAGCUCCAGCUACAUCUUCUGCUGGUGCUUUUGAUCUGCCUCCAACACCAGAUGUGGAUGGAAGUGACCCACAGAACAAGUUACAGGCUUUCACUGUGCAAACCUUGGUGCCCUGUAACUAUAUAGAUCAGACUGCCAUCAAACUUAAAAAGAUCUGCAUGACUCUACCUUUCAAGUGCUGAGAUUAAAG